AGUGAACGCUGGCGGUAGGCCUAACACAUGCAAGUCGAACGGAAGCACAGUAAGCGCUUGCCUCUACCGGUGGCGAGUGGCGGACGGGUGAGACAUACAUCGGCAUCUACCAUUACGUGGGGGAUAACGUGAGGCAACUUACGCUACUACCGCAUACAACCUACGGCAGAAAGCAGGGGUUAUUCGCGCCUUUGCCGAUUCAAAGAGCCGAUGUCGGAUUAGCUAGUUGGGGGGGUAAAGGCACACCAAGGCGACGAUCCGUAGCGGGUCUGAGAGGAUGAUCGGCCACACUGGAACUGAGACACGGUCCAGACUCCUACGGGAGGCAGCAGUAGGGAAUCUUCGGCAAUGGGCGCAAGCCUGAUCCAGCCAUACCGCGUGGGUGAAGAAGGCCUUCGGGUUGUAAAGCUCUGUUAUUGGGGAAGAAAAGCAGCGGGUUUAUACCCCGCUGUCCUGACGGUACCUAAAGAAUAAGCACCGGCUAACUUCGUG
Molecule: ribosomal RNA, 492 nt
Filed under: uncultured bacterium
Lineage: Bacteria
Description: partial 16S ribosomal RNA
Rfam family: Bacterial small subunit ribosomal RNA
Source: RNAcentral